This is a non-coding RNA of Phrynosoma platyrhinos (Desert horned lizard), 71 nucleotides long. NCBI's taxonomy places the organism in Eukaryota, Metazoa, Chordata, Lepidosauria, Squamata, Phrynosomatidae. The record is from the annotation of a GenBank genome assembly.
GCCAUUGUGGUGUAGGGGUUUGAACAUUGGCCUGUGACUCUGGAGACCGUGGUUCAAAUCCCGGCUUGGCU